Molecule: long non-coding RNA, 2879 nt
Organism: Callorhinus ursinus (northern fur seal)
Lineage: Eukaryota; Metazoa; Chordata; Mammalia; Carnivora; Otariidae
Source: RefSeq, a predicted model, not a curated record
UCAGCCAGCCUUGCAGAGGGAGCUCUCGGCAGCUCUGGGGUCCCUCUGCUCGCAGCCGCAGCAGCGCCGCCUGCGCCACUCGGCGGAGACGGAGACCAGCGGCGGCGGUGCGCGGACUGGGAGCGACCGCCAAGCAGCCGAGCGGCAGGGGUAUGCUCGCAAAGCGGCCGGGAAACAGGGAUAUGUCCUAUUUCAUGGAAUUGACUCCAAAGACCAAGAAAUAGAGAGCCAAACCAAAAGGAGAGGAUGCUUCAGGCUGGACAGAAACAAGCUGAGAGCAAAAGCUUUGAAAACACGAGGAAGAAGAGUGGGAGACAGGAGAAAAGGUAAGAUUAGAAGAGGGAAGGAGAGGAGAAACGGGAGGCCCCGGUGACCACUGAUACAAUAAACUGUGUCCUGGACCACCACAGCCUGGUCCCUUUUUGCAAUGCAGACUUAUGUUUUGUCUGGGGAGAGCCCCAACGAUGAUGGCUAAGGUGUGGCUGUGGCCUUGAUGGCCUUGAUUGACGGGGUGCUCCUCCAUGUGUCACACUUCCUCUUCCUCACAGAGCCUGGCACAGGCUCCACGGGACAGCUGGGCAUAGGCUUUCCCUGCCCCGGUGCCUUUGACUCCUGAUGGUGUCACCAGCCCCCCACUCCCAUCACCUGGGGCAGCAGGAAUGAGUGCCUCCCUGAACCUUGAGGAGGAGGUGGCAGAGAAGGCCGUAAGGAGAUUGAGGAUAUAGCUAGAAACGUACACGUUAGCCAUAGCGAUUCAGCUCCUUAUUCAGUGGCUGCAGUGUAGGAGGUAGGGGGAGUGCCCUGUGGGAAGCACUUGUGAGGCUGUGUGUGUGUAGGGAGGGGAGGAUACAAGAGGGAGGAUGGGUUCUCCCUGCCCUCCACUACCCACAGACACGCGCCUAGGUGUAGGAGGCCAUUGAGCCUGACCUCGAGGCAUUGAGGGAGGGGGUCUGAGUGGCUGUUCUGGGGUUGAUCCACAUAACCCUGAGCUAAGUAGGCUUGAUGAGGCAAAGGCCGGACACUCUUCUUGCCUUUGCAUUGACAGUCCUUCACCGGUAUCUGGCUUUGCUCACGGUGUCUUCUUUCUGGCUCCUGACCCUCACACCCACCCUCAGCUAGAGCUGAAUACUAGGCUCUGGUCUUAGGACUCUCCUUGUAGAGGACAGAGAGGGGCCCUGUCCUUUCUCAGCACUGGAAAGCAGGCCAUUCAGAUUUUUGGUGACAGCCCCAUUUGACCUCUGGCUGGGAUAUUUUUCCAUCCUCUACGUCUUGCCCAGGCCCUGUCCUCUCCUGUGGAUUGAGCCGUGAGCUCGUGAUGGCCCUGUCACCCCUGUCUGCACUUUCCCAGGACCUGGUCAGCCAGUGUUCACUUCCUCUUUCCCCACCACACAGGCUACGCACGCUUCGAAUCCAAGUCGACAGUCCUGCCCUACCAGUGGGCCUCUUGUGGGGCCUCAGGCCUGAGGGGCUCCUUGGGGUGGUUCUGGGACCGGAACCUUCCUGCAGGGGCCCUUGGGGCAGGCCCAAGCUCUAGCCAACUUUGGGUGCUGGUUUGGUCUCCAUGACUUGUUUGCUUUCUCCAUCCCCUGCCACUCUAGCCGACCACCCAAAAAGCUGUCCCCCAUCCCCUCCAUGCCACCCUUCGUAGUUACAGAGGGAACACAGCACUGUGCUGGUGUGCUGAGAGUGUCUGCCCGCCCCCACCCCCACCUCAGCCCCGACUCUUCUGGAAUGAGCCACCUGCUUCCACACACAGGUGUUUCCUGUGCUCCUUCCUGUUGGCCGUUUUUCUGCUCAGCGUGGCUUCCCCAGCAGGUGGUUAAAGGCCCAGCCAAACCUCCUCAUACACAGCGCUAAAACACGGGGGAGCAGGGUUCCCUGGGGAUCUGGGUCACCCCCUCCCCCAGCCUCCUGGGAGGGGGCCGUUGGCAGCUCAUUGGCUCCUCUUGAGUGCAGGCGCACACACUUUCCCCAGUGUGCCCCACUUGUGUGCUGACACCACGGGCACUGAGACACCAGAGUGGGCUCCGGAAGUAGGGAGGGCCUGUUUUCCUUGCCCCUGGGUAAUAAUGAAAGCUCAGAGGGAGAGGGGAAGGGUAGAGAGCCUGUUGUCCAGCCUUGGGCGUGGGCCCCCUCCAGCCUUCUUUGGAACAGGCCCGCCACCCUGAAAUCCCAUCCCCGCCGUCCGCCUACCCCCCACUGAAUUCUUAACCUUCUGGGGUUAACACACUCACGUGCCAGGCAACUCUGGGAAGAGGUGAGCCCUCUCCCUGGAGCCCUGCUUCCUGAAGCAGCAGUCUGCCCACUGUCAGGGGUGGGGAGCUCAGGGUUCAGUCAGGUUUGUUACUACGGAGAGGAGAGGCAGCUUGGGGAGAGAAAAAACUUGCUGUUUAGGGUCACGGGGGCAGCUAUUCAUGUUUCCUGCUUCCCAGGCCCCAGCUCUCCCCCUCUGCAAGGAUCUCCCCUUUCCUCCUAUCCAGCCCUCCAGGAGCUCCUUGCUCUCAUCUCAGCCACCUUGGUAGGAAGCUGCCGCUGCUAAGGGAAGACCCAGAAGCCUGGCCGUUCGCUGACGGGGUUCUGCUGCCCCCUUCUGGCCAGAAGCUCCAGUCUUCCCCUCGGUCGUUGCAGCCGGUUUCAUCUGCCUCCAGGCCACCUGGAGCUAGCUGCUAGGGAGCCAUUACCAGGACUGGCACCUCUGGGCUUUCUCUGGGCCAGCUCCACAGUUUGGCUGCAGCCUGGGCCCACAGCUUCCAGGCCCAGGGCACCCCCGGUCUCCAGACUGGGCCUCGUCAGCAACCACCGUCUUCCUCUGCUCUCUUUCCCAACCCCAGUUCCAGCCUCUGGGCUCUCUUCUGCCUGAAUUUCCAGGGCCAAAGCAC